RNAcentral lists this ribosomal RNA (499 nucleotides) under uncultured bacterium. Its description in RNAcentral is "partial 16S ribosomal RNA". It matches the Rfam family "Bacterial small subunit ribosomal RNA", at positions 28 to 507 of the family's 1533-position model. The record is from RNAcentral.
GACGAACGCUGGCGGCGUGCUUAACACAUGCAAGUCGAACGGGCCCGCUCUCUUUUUUGGGGGUGGGUUGAGUGGCGAACGAGUGAGUAUCACGUGAGUAACCUGCCCCCUGCUCCUGGAUAACUGCUUGAAAGGGCGGCUAAUACGGGGUGUGCCGGCUGGUCCGCAUGGGCCUGGUCGGGAUAGUUUCAUCUUCGGGUGUUUCGGUGGGGGAUGGGCUCGCGGCCUAUCAGCUUGUUGGUGGGGUGAUGGCCCACCAAGGCGGUGACGGGUAGCCGGCCUGAGAGGGUGGGCGGCCACACUGGGACUGAGACACGGCCCAGACUCCUGCGGGAGGCAGCAGUGGGGGGUAUUGCGCAAUGGGCGGAAGCCUGAUGCAGCGACGUCGCGUGAGGGAUGGAGGCCUUCGGGUUGUGAACCUCUUUCUCCGGUGGUGAAGGCCCUGUCCGUUGCGGCGGGGUUGACGGUAGCCGGGUAUGAAGCGCCGGCUAACUACGUG